AGUGAACGCUGGCGGUAGGCCUAACACAUGCAAGUCGAACGGCAGCACAGUAAGAGCUUGCUCUUACGGGUGGCGAGUGGCGGACGGGUGAGGAAUACAUCGGAAUCUACUUUUUCGUGGGGGAUAACGUAGGGAAACUUACGCUAAUACCGCAUACGACCUACGGGUGAAAGCAGGGGAUCUUCGGACCUUGCGCGAUUGAAUGAGCCGAUGUCGGAUUAGCUAGUUGGCGGGGUAAAGGCCCACCAAGGCGACGAUCCGUAGCUGGUCUGAGAGGAUGAUCGGCGGCACUGGAGGUGAGACACGGUCCAGACUCCUACGAGAGGCAGCAGUGGGGAAUAUGAGACAAUAGGGGCGAGCAUGGUCCAGCCAUACCGCGUGGGUGAAGGAGGCCUUCGGGUUGUAAAGCCCUUUUGUUGGGAAAGAAAAGCAGCAGGUUAAUACCCCGCUGUUCUGACGGUACCCAAAGAAUAAGCACCGGCUAACUACGUG
Molecule: ribosomal RNA, 492 nt
Filed under: uncultured bacterium
Lineage: Bacteria
Description: partial 16S ribosomal RNA
Rfam family: Bacterial small subunit ribosomal RNA
Source: RNAcentral